AUACGGAGGAUGCGAGCGUUAUCCGGAUUUAUUGGGUUUAAAGGGUGCGUAGGCGGGCUGUCAAGUCUGUGGUGAAAAGUCAGGGCUUAACCUUGAUCGUGCCGCGGAAACUGACGGUCUUGAGUAGGGAUGCCGUUAGCGGAAUGGGGAGUGUAGCGGUGAAAUGCAUAGAUAUUCCACAGAACACCGAUUGCGAAGGCAGCUGACGAAUCCCCGAUUGACGCUGAUGCUCGAAGGUGCGGGAAUCAAACAGGAUUAGAUACCCUGGUAGUCCGCACGGUAAACGAUGAUUACCCGCUGUCGGCGGUAGACAGUCGGCGGCCAAGCGAAAGCGAUAAGUAAUCCACCUGGGGAGUACGCCGGCAACGGUGAAACUCAAAGGAAUUGACGGGG
This 393-nucleotide ribosomal RNA is filed under the name uncultured bacterium. RNAcentral's name for it is "partial 16S ribosomal RNA". It matches the Rfam family "Bacterial small subunit ribosomal RNA", at positions 523 to 918 of the family's 1533-position model. The record is from RNAcentral.